RNAcentral lists this ribosomal RNA (422 nucleotides) under uncultured bacterium. RNAcentral describes it as "bacterial SSU rRNA". It matches the Rfam family "Bacterial small subunit ribosomal RNA", at positions 355 to 774 of the family's 1533-position model. The record is from RNAcentral.
UGAGGAAUAUUGGACAAUGGGCGCAAGCCUGAUCCAGCCAUGCCGCGUGCAGGAUGACGGUCCUAUGGAUUGUAAACUGCUUUUAUACGAGAAGAAACAACUCUACGUGUAGAGUCUUGACGGUAUCGUAAGAAUAAGGAUCGGCUAACUCCGUGCCAGCAGCCGCGGUAAUACGGAGGAUCCAAGCGUUAUCCGGAAUCAUUGGGUUUAAAGGGUCCGUAGGCGGUCAGAUAAGUCAGUGGUGAAAUCCCAUCGCUCAACGGUGGAACGGCCAUUGAUACUGUCUGACUUGAAUUAUUAGGAAGUAACUAGAAUAUGUAGUGUAGCGGUGAAAUGCUUAGAGAUUACAUGGAAUACCAAUUGCGAAGGCAGGUUACUACUAAUGGAUUGACGCUGAUGGACGAAAGCGUGGGUAGCGAACA